RNAcentral lists this ribosomal RNA (520 nucleotides) under Austinixa sp. 1 DEVP-2020. RNAcentral describes it as "partial 16S ribosomal RNA". It matches the Rfam family "Archaeal large subunit ribosomal RNA", at positions 1921 to 2669 of the family's 2987-position model. Lineage: Eukaryota; Metazoa; Arthropoda; Malacostraca; Decapoda; Pinnotheridae. The record is from RNAcentral.
GUCUGCUUGAAGAUAUAAGAAGUCUAGCCUGCUCUCUGAUAAUUUUAAGGGCCGCGGUAAUUUGACCGUGCAAAGGUAGCAUAAUAGUUAGUUUUUUAAUUGAAAUCUUGUAUGAAUGGUUGGACAAAAGAAAUACUGUCUCUAUAAUUAUUUUUGAAUUUAACUUUUAAGUGAAAAGGCUUAAAUAUUUUAAAAAGACGAUAAGACCCUAUAAAGCUUUAUAAGAAGUCUAUAUUUAGUUGAAAUAAAUAAUAAAAUUUUGAUAUGUGCUCUUAUUUUAUUGGGGAGAUAAGAUUAUAAAUUAAUAUAACUAAGUUUUAUUAAAACAGAAAUAAAUGUUUAUAGAAAUUAAAAGAUCCUUUUUAUGGAUUUUAAGUUUAAGUUACUUUAGGGAUAACAGCGUUAUUUCUCUUAAGAGUUCAUAUCGAAAGAGGAGAUUGCGACCUCGAUGUUGAAUUAAAAUUUCUAGAUUAUUGCAGAAGUAGUCUUAGAAGGUCUGUUCGACCUUUAAAUUUUUACA